Molecule: long non-coding RNA, 1011 nt
Filed under: Gossypium raimondii (Peruvian cotton)
Lineage: Eukaryota; Viridiplantae; Streptophyta; Magnoliopsida; Malvales; Malvaceae
Description: long non-coding RNA (GRAI_LNC006931)
Source: RNAcentral
CAAACAUACAAAAUAACUAAAUCCCUAUACAUGCCAUAACUCAAACGUGAUUCGAUAUAAAAUACCGAGCAGUUGUGGUUGAUAGUGUGGACGAUCUUCGACUUCUUUAGGAUCCUUGAAGUAGCUUUGCAAUACUAUAAGAGAAAGAGAAAUAAAAGAAGUAAGCAUAAAGCUUAGUAAGUUUACUAGCAAAUAAAUAACAAUAUUUAACUUAAAUAAUUAAACUCAAAUGUCUAUAUCUCUAGUUUACUCUUUAGUUAAUCUCAUACUAGUUCUCUUGCUUGUUUACUUAGAAUACUUGUGUACAUAACUUACUCAACUCUUGCUGCAUCGUUGAACAUCAAUUGAUAGUAUAAUAAGUUCUUAACUCUUAUAACUUACCUGAGCUUGCCAUUUAUGCUUUAAACUGAACUUUCAUGAACAUAAUUCGUUUACAAGCCCGUUGAGCUACAUUGGAAUAAUAAGGAUACUCGGGUCUCUUCUGAUAAUAACAUGCCAAAGCCAUGUCCCAGACAUGGUCUUACAUGGGAUGCUCUCAUAUCGGUGCCCAUGCCAUGUCCCAGACAUGGUCUUACGGAGGACCUCUCAUCUCGGUGCCAACGCCAUGUCCUAGACAUGGUCUUACAUGGGACCUCUCAUCUCGGUGCCAAUGCCAUGUCCCAGACAUGGUCUUACAUGGGACCUCUCAUCUCGGUGCCAAUGCCAUGUCCCAGACAUGGUCUUACAUGGGACCUCUUUACCCAAAUGUCAUGACAUUCGUAUCCAGUACCAUCCUUAUGUAUCAACGGGACUUUUUAAUUUUAAUUCUCUAUCAUUUCAUGCUUAGAUCAUCAUCAAAUAAAUUCAUAAAAUAAAUUCAUAGUUGCUGGAAAAUAACAGCAUUGAUAAUAAAUAUUGAAAUAUUGCAUUUAUGUAAAUAAAUUUACCUCGGUACCAAUUAUAGCCAAAUUCACCAACUUAGUCUUCAACUUUAUUCUUCCCUUUGUCUAACCUCGAGUUUCGUUCUUCUUG